UGCCAGCAGCCGCGGUAAUACGGAGGGUGCAAGCGUUAUCCGGAAUUACUGGGUUUAAAGGGUGCGUAGGCGGCGUUAUAAGUCAGAGGUGAAAGCUCACAGCUUAACUGUGAAAUUGCCUCCGAAACUGUAAUGCUUGAAUCACGCUGAGGUCAGCGGAAUGUGACAUGUAGCGGUGAAAUGCAUAGAUAUGUCAUAGAACACCAAUUGCGAAGGCAGCUGACUGAGCGUGUAUUGACGCUGAGGCACGAAAGCGUGGGUAGCGAACAGGAUUAGAUA
This 279-nucleotide ribosomal RNA is filed under the name uncultured bacterium. Its description in RNAcentral is "partial 16S ribosomal RNA". It matches the Rfam family "Bacterial small subunit ribosomal RNA", at positions 506 to 784 of the family's 1533-position model. The record is from RNAcentral.